RNAcentral lists this unclassified non-coding RNA (330 nucleotides) under soil metagenome. RNAcentral's name for it is "partial contains 5.8S ribosomal RNA, internal transcribed spacer 2, and large subunit ribosomal RNA". The stretch from base 1 to 120 matches the Rfam family "5.8S ribosomal RNA", at positions 35 to 154 of the family's 154-position model. The record is from RNAcentral.
GAUGAAGAACGUAGCGAAAUGCGAUAAGUAAUGUGAAUUGCAGAAUUCAGUGAAUCAUCGAAUCUUUGAACGCACAUUGCGCCCUCUGGUAUUCCGGGGGGCAUGCCUGUUCGAGCGUCAUUACAACCCUCAAGCUUUGCUUGGUAUUGGUCAUUGCCAGUUUCUGGCAGGUCUUAAAAUCAGUGGCGGUGCCAUUUGGCUUCAAGCGUAGUAAUUCUUCUCGCUUUGGAGAUCCAAGUGGUUACUUGCCAAUAACCCCCAAUUUUUUCAGGUUGACCUCGGAUCAGGUAGGGAUACCCGCUGAACUUAAGCAUAUCAAUAAGCGGAGGA